Molecule: long non-coding RNA, 834 nt
Organism: Zingiber officinale
Lineage: Eukaryota; Viridiplantae; Streptophyta; Magnoliopsida; Zingiberales; Zingiberaceae
Exons: 4
Source: RefSeq, a predicted model, not a curated record
CCAAGCACCACCCGCUCUCUUCUCUCCAGGUCGUGGACACCUGGUUCUCACCGGAAGCCGAGCAUCCAAGUCCUUUUGGCCGUGCCCUAAUUUCUCGAUGUCGCUGGUUGAUGUUGGUGUGAGUGUUACCGAUGGUUCCUAUUUGACCUUGGGCAAGGAGCCCUUGGAUCUCCCGAUUGCCAUCAACUAUUGCCCCUUUGCUUUCUGAUCAUUCAUUUCACUCCAGCCGAUCUCUGCCCUAGUGCUGGCGUCACCCUAUUCUUCUGCCCGGCUCACCGCCACAACAGCAUCCUGAUUCCCUCUGAGAGAGAUCUCGGAUUUAGUUCAGGGCUCCGACGAGGAUUAAACCAUGGGAGGCUAGCUGCGACCACCAGAUCUUCUACUUUGGCUAUCCCUUACCACUGAUGUUAGUGCUAGAUUUUUCCUCUUGGCUUGACGUGAAGCUUUCGAUUUGAGUCUUCCAAAUAUACAAUUCCGGCCAGACAACACUGUUCAGAUAAGAAAUUAGAGGCUGAUAGAGGGAUAUUUGAAUUGAAGGGGGAGAUCCAUUUAUGCACAGCUGCUUUUGGGUUCUUCACUGAGCUAUUACAGAUUUGAUUUGGGUAGUAGGUAGUGAUUAUGGAGUCGCUUGGAAUAUCCUGUCUGCUAGUCCCACGUCACAUCAUAAGAUGGUAUUUAUUUUACUCUUGUUUUCUUACAUAUUUUCUUUAUGGUAAUGGUGUUGUGUUGGUAUUUAGCCAUGUGGCUUCUUUACCAUUUUCAGUAUUGUGUUGUGUUUAAGCCAUGCCAGCACGCAUUGUAUCUUUUUGGUUUGUAUGAGCUUUCUUUUUGUUU